CGCCCUGAACGCACCUACCGUGGAUGCAAUCCCAAACAACGUUGGAGAGUGGCUUUAACCAAUCGCUUUCAUGUUCGAUUAACUCGAUGACCGGAGUGGUCCAAUCGUCUGCAGAAAGCCGCUACUGAGAAAACGUGGACUCCAAUCCUGGUCCUCAAGGGCGUGUACUACAAAUCUUUUCUUCAGAGCGUCGUUGUGUAUCUUACGACAGAGUACCGUAUCCCGUCUGCAUCUUGUCUGCAUUUCAUGAAUGAACAGAAAAUAAGGAUUUUCGAGUCGCACCCGAUACAAGCAAAAGAUCUGAAGGAGUGGCAUGUAGAGAGAGAUCCCAAGAGAUAGACUGACGUCAAUGCAACACAGACAGCAGCAGAUUGCCUGUGUUUAUGGUA
Long non-coding RNA from Sphaeramia orbicularis (orbiculate cardinalfish), 389 nucleotides. RefSeq lists it as uncharacterized. The record is from RefSeq and is a predicted model, not a curated record. The transcript has 3 exons. NCBI's taxonomy places the organism in Eukaryota, Metazoa, Chordata, Actinopteri, Kurtiformes, Apogonidae.